RNAcentral lists this transfer RNA (75 nucleotides) under Wigglesworthia glossinidia endosymbiont of Glossina brevipalpis. RNAcentral's name for it is "tRNA-Val (GAC) (tRNA-Val-GAC-1-1)". It matches the Rfam family "tRNA". From Rfam's summary of the family: Transfer RNA (tRNA) molecules are approximately 80 nucleotides in length. Their secondary structure includes four short double-helical elements and three loops (D, anti-codon, and T loops). Lineage: Bacteria; Pseudomonadati; Pseudomonadota; Gammaproteobacteria; Enterobacterales; Erwiniaceae. The record is from Rfam by way of RNAcentral.
ACGUCUGUAGCUCAGAAUGGACAGAGCACCACUAUGACAUAGUGGGGGCCAGUGGUUCAAAUCCACUCAGACGUA